CAGCUUCGAUCUGCUCCGGGGAGAUGAAGUGGAUGUGAGUGUCAAUGCCACCCGCAGUGAGCACCUUGCCCUCGCCGGCAAUGAUGUCGGUGGAGACACCGAUUGGGAUUGUCCCCCCAUCCAUGGUGUCGGGGUUACCCGCAUGACCGAUCCCGGUGAUAAUACCGUCGCGGAUUCCGAUGUCCGCCUUGUAGAUUCCCGACCAAUCCAGGACGAUCACGUUGGUGAUCACCGUGUCGGGAAUGUCCGGAUCCUCUUCUCUCGUCCGGUGCCCGUUCUGGCCCAUCCCGACGCGCAC
Molecule: small RNA, 298 nt
Filed under: Corynebacterium efficiens YS-314
Lineage: Bacteria; Bacillati; Actinomycetota; Actinomycetes; Mycobacteriales; Corynebacteriaceae
Description: 5' ureB small RNA
Rfam family: 5' ureB small RNA
Source: Rfam by way of RNAcentral